AACGCGAAGAACCUUACCGGGGCUUGACAUCCUGCGCUAUCCUAGGAGACUAGGUUUCCCAGCAAUGGGACGCAGAGACAGGUGCUGCAUGGCUGUCGUCAGCUCGUGCCGUGAGGUGUUGGGUUAAGUCCCGCAACGAGCGCAACCCUUGCCGUGUGUUGGUCCAAAAGAUCUCUCACGCGGGACCGCCGGUGACAAGCCGGAGGAAGGUGGGGAUGACGUCAAGUCAGCAUGGCCCUUACGUCCCGGGCUACACACGUGCUACAAUGGAACGGACAACGAGCUGCGAACCCGCGAGGGUAAGCUAAUCUCAUAAACCGUUUCUCAGUUCGGAUUGGAGGCUGCAACUCGCCUCCAUGAAGUCGGAAUCGCUAGUAACCGCAGAUCAGCUACGCUGCGGUGAAUACGUUCCCGGGCCUUGUA
RNAcentral lists this ribosomal RNA (423 nucleotides) under uncultured delta proteobacterium. RNAcentral describes it as "bacterial SSU rRNA". It matches the Rfam family "Bacterial small subunit ribosomal RNA", at positions 958 to 1385 of the family's 1533-position model. RNAcentral also lists the same sequence under 1 other name. The record is from RNAcentral. Lineage: Bacteria; Deltaproteobacteria.